Molecule: ribosomal RNA, 250 nt
Filed under: uncultured bacterium
Lineage: Bacteria
Description: partial 16S ribosomal RNA
Rfam family: Bacterial small subunit ribosomal RNA
Source: RNAcentral
GACGAACCGUCCAAACGUUAUUCGGUAUCACUGGGCUUAAAGCGUGCGUAGGCGGCUUGGUAGGUGAGAUGUGAAAGCCCACGGCUCAACCGUGGAAUUGCGUUUCAAACCCCCAAGCUCGAGUAAGAUAGGGGUGAUGGGAACUUAUGGUGGAGCGGUGAAAUGCGUUGAUAUCAUAGGGAACACCGGUGGCGAAAGCGCAUCACUGGAUCUUUACUGACGCUGAGGCACGAAAGCUAGGGUAGCGAAC